AAAUUGAAGAGUUUGAUCAUGGCUCAGAUUGAACGCUGGCGGCAGGCCUAACACAUGCAAGUCGAGCGGUAACAGGGGUAGCUUGCUACCCGCUGACGAGCGGCGGACGGGUGAGUAAUGCUUGGGAACUUGCCUUUAGGAGGGGGAUAACCACGGGAAACUGUGGCUAAUACCGCAUAAUGUCUCCGGACCAAAGUGGGGGAUCUUCGGACCUCACACCUAAAGAUAGGCCCAAGCGAGAUUAGCUAGUUGGUGGGGUAAAGGCUCACCAAGGCGACGAUCUCUAGCUGUUCUGAGAGGAUGAUCAGCCACACUGGGACUGAGACACGGCCCAGACUCCUACGGGAGGCAGCAGUGGGGAAUAUUGCACAAUGG
Molecule: non-coding RNA, 375 nt
Filed under: Pseudidiomarina salinarum
Lineage: Bacteria; Pseudomonadati; Pseudomonadota; Gammaproteobacteria; Alteromonadales; Idiomarinaceae
Description: Bacterial small subunit ribosomal RNA
Rfam family: Bacterial small subunit ribosomal RNA
Source: Rfam by way of RNAcentral